This 681-nucleotide unclassified non-coding RNA is filed under the name uncultured Prochlorococcus sp. RNAcentral's name for it is "partial may contain 16S ribosomal RNA, 16S-23S ribosomal RNA intergenic spacer, and 23S ribosomal RNA". The stretch from base 301 to 373 matches the Rfam family "tRNA". Lineage: Bacteria; Bacillati; Cyanobacteriota; Cyanophyceae; Synechococcales; Prochlorococcaceae. The record is from RNAcentral.
GUGGAGGAGGACGCCGAAGGUGGGGCUAAUGACUGGGGUGAAGUCGUAACAAGGUAGCCGUACCGGAAGGUGCGGCUGGAUCACCUCCUAACAGGGAGACAACAAAAUGUUUAAUAUUAUUAUUUUGUCACCUUAGGUCGAUCGGUAUCUCACAUUCUUAAUUCAUUAAGGAUUUCAUUUCCUAAGUUUUUUCUAGGUCACACCCAUUUUCCCUGGGCCAUUAGCUCAGGUGGUUAGAGCGCACCCCUGAUAAGGGUGAGGUCCCUGGUUCAAGUCCAGGAUGGCCCAUCUCUCUAUGUUGGGGGUAUAGCUCAGUUGGUAGAGCGCCUGCUUUGCAAGCAGGAUGUCAGCGGUUCGAGUCCGCUUACCUCCACUGAUUACCACCUCUUCCAUAGUUAAUAGAAUUAGGGGAUUAUUUGAGUGGAGAUCAAAUUCUGAACGAAUCUAGCUUCCUAAUGUAACUAUUAAGAUGCUGGACUCAUUGAAUUAAUUUCAUUGUUUUCAGAGAACCUUGACAACUGCAUAGAUUAUUUUUAAAGACAAUAAGCAUCUUUAAUGAUGCAGAUUUAUUAUUUGUGCGAAUGCAUUAAUAACAAUUCUAUUAAGCUGAUGCUUCAAUUUUUGAAGUUAUUGGUCAAGCUACAAAGGGCUCACGGAGGAUACCUAGGCACACAGAGGCGA